AGCCUCUCCUUCCCUGCCAGCCUCCUGGGCGCAGACAGCCCAGUGCUGGCAGGAAGGGCUUUCUGUUUGGCUUGGCUGGCGGGAUGCGAUUAGCGCUCGCUUUCUAUUUUGACUCCUAUCUCACCAGCAGGCAGAGCCUGUGACUGAGCAGAAAGCAGCCGUGGGCCUUCCCAAGGGCUCCCUGCUGUGUCUGGAGGGAGUGAAUGGGGGACCGCCUAGUACCGGCCCCCCCCAUCAUGCAGAGAGAUCCUCCUGCUUCAUCAGACUGCCUGCUGGUGAGUCGCUCUGCCUCGGCCGCCACACUGCAACAACGGAUAGAUGAUUGGCUGCUUUCCUACAGUCUCCGUCUCAUCUUGGGGGGUGCAAGGGGCACUGUGUCCCAGAGUAAGGGGUCUGGCUUCCCGGAUGGCCUCCAGAGGGGCUGAAGAACUCAUCCACAGAAGUUCUCUGGAUUGGGAGAUGAGAUAGGAGGGUAAAUUCCUUCUUUGGUCCUUCCUCCUCCCAAUCCCUCCCGUGGACCAUUCAAGGCACUUUCUCUAGAUUACCAUCUGGAGACCGGAGUCUGCUGAGGAUCUCCCUCUCAAAGGACUGUGGUUUUGUUGGUCCCAAGUCCCCAGUCUACCAGGACCUAAGUCUACCGAGGUUGCUUGUGCAGCAAUGGCAGGGUGGUUAUGCCUUGCCUUCUGUCGUUCCCUGCUUCACUGGCCCUUCCCUGGCAUUCCACCUCCAACAUAAGACACUGCAUUUACUCUCUUUGCCAAAGCCUCUUUUCUACAGAGAACCAGGUGCAGCGAGGUGAAGCUAUUUCCCUGAGGAUCGGGGCCUGAACUCAAGACUGCCUGAGCUGAACCAGUCCGUGCUCGGAGGGGGCAUUUUUGAAUGGCUCUUCGAGUCAUGAAGACGUCUCGAUGCCCCAGCUGACAGCGACCGCGGCCUCUUGGUUCCUGAAGGUUCCCUGGCCUGUGACUGGCCUUGUGGUGCUUUCCUUCUCUCCUUGAUGUGAGCAAACCGGCACCCACUGCCUCAGAGAGACCCGGGUGACCGAGCUGAGCUCCCUUCGAGGGUUUCCAAGACUCAACGUCUUACGGAGCCACGUCGUUCUUCCGCGGAGCAGCUGGCGGAUUCAAACCACGACAGACCCUUCUGUAAACAGCCCAGCCCUUCAGAACACCACCAAAGAUCCUUUCGACAACAUGCCUUUCCUCUGCACCUUUAGCUUCAACCCUGACUCUGCAUGAGGAUCCCUGGUGGGUGCUGUUGGGCCGCUAACUGCAAGGUCAGCAGUUUAAAACCACGAGCCUCUCGGGGAGAAAGGGGCUUUCUACUCCCGUAAAGACUUAGUCUCAUAAAUUCACGGGGCCGGUUCUGCCCUAUCCUGGACGGGGUCGCUGUGAGUCUGCAUCGGCUAGACGGCAGUGAGGUUGGUUUUUUGGGAUUCCGUAAGAGCGCCACAUUGCACACCCCUGUCUCCCAAGCCUUGUCCCCGGGAAUGCCUCAAAGUGGAAUCUGCGUUAUGGGAGACUGGUUCCCAAGCACCCAGUUUCCAUUGCUCCUCAUGGCAGUCCCCGUAGUUGGGGAGCUGCUUCUCCUCCGCUCUGUGGAGUCCUGGAGUACUCCACUACCGGGCAACCAGGUGGUCACAAGACCCUGGUGAGGCCAGCCGGAGCCCUGCAGUCUCUGGGUGGGUCCAAUCAGAGUAUUCAAGAAUUUCCCCUUGAAUCAUGAAUUUUUAAGGAUCUGCAGCCAGAGCUCUAGUGGCUUGUAACGGACCCUAAAUGAAGCCCUGAAACAGUCAGCAGCGAUCAGCUCCCUUCCCUUUCAGCGUCUGACCCCUAAGCCUCUGUCAUCAGUCAAUUCUGACUCAGUGACCCUUGGGGGGAAAGUUGCAUUUUUGUUUAAAAUAAACACUGUUUUUUA
Molecule: long non-coding RNA, 1917 nt
Organism: Echinops telfairi (small Madagascar hedgehog)
Lineage: Eukaryota; Metazoa; Chordata; Mammalia; Afrosoricida; Tenrecidae
Exons: 2
Source: RefSeq, a predicted model, not a curated record